Molecule: transfer RNA, 63 nt
Filed under: Scotoplanes sp. TT-2017
Lineage: Eukaryota; Metazoa; Echinodermata; Holothuroidea; Elasipodida; Elpidiidae
Also listed under: 2 other names
Description: tRNA-Cys
Source: RNAcentral
UUCCUUAAAGUGUAUAAACAUAUUUAAUUGCAAAUUAAAAGUAACUAUAAAAAGUUAAGGAAU